GCUCACAUCCAUAUCUCCGAGACAGUGCCCGAUCUGGUAAGAUCUCAGAAGCCGAGCAGCGUUAAAGCUGGUAAUUCAUUUGAUGGGUGACCGCGUGGGCUUGCCAGGUGUUGUAGGAU
Molecule: ribosomal RNA, 119 nt
Filed under: Petromyzon marinus (sea lamprey)
Lineage: Eukaryota; Metazoa; Chordata; Hyperoartia; Petromyzontiformes; Petromyzontidae
Source: RNAcentral